Molecule: transfer RNA, 90 nt
Filed under: Roseomonas mucosa
Lineage: Bacteria; Pseudomonadati; Pseudomonadota; Alphaproteobacteria; Acetobacterales; Roseomonadaceae
Description: tRNA-Trp(cca)
Source: RNAcentral
GCUGGAAGCGCAGCGGCUUCAUCAGGGCGGUCUCCAGCGCCUCCGGCCCGCCCUGCGGGCCGAUCUGGCGUGCCACCCGCAAUUCCGGCC